AUCAGUCGUAGGUGUAUCGUGGCCUGUUGUUGGAGCUCUGUCGGCGUUCUUGGCACAGUUUGUGUUCAUCUUUUAUUACGAGCAGAGCUCACACAAUUUUCCAGUUUUGAAUUUUUUCAGAUAUUUGAACCAUAUUAAAAUUUACGUCGUAUAAGUUUCCAAUUUAGUACAUGGCACACGGAAAUUUUUUUGCUUAAAUAACAUGCUUCUAAGGUUCAUUUUAUUAUCGGGACUAUUUUUUUAACGGUCGAAAUACAAUGACGGAUUCAAGAUUAAGGCCCAAUAUUCGAAUUAUACGUUACAAAAAUUCACUGGAAAUUUAGCCGCGCACUUUGUCUGCAAAGCAACAAAGGAAGCUUCUCGAAGUUGUCAAAGCUUGCUUCCAGAGAAUUCACUAAAGCCUCCAAGAAUACAUAACACUAAAUGUACGCAAUCGUAUUUAAGAAGCAACGAACGGAGAAGAAAACAGUCUUGUUGAAUUACUCAAGUGAAACUAGUGUCAGUAACAUCUGUGAAAGUCGAACUCGUCUGAAGGAAUCCCUGCAAGGUGUCGAUUAAAUUCAUGUUGCAGUUGUUUCUCAUUGAGGAUCGGUACAAUAUUCAGUGGAAUAUGUUGCAUAGUA
Molecule: long non-coding RNA, 623 nt
Organism: Ceratosolen solmsi marchali
Lineage: Eukaryota; Metazoa; Arthropoda; Insecta; Hymenoptera; Agaonidae
Exons: 3
Source: RefSeq, a predicted model, not a curated record